RNAcentral lists this ribosomal RNA (301 nucleotides) under uncultured bacterium. RNAcentral describes it as "partial 16S ribosomal RNA". It matches the Rfam family "Bacterial small subunit ribosomal RNA", at positions 509 to 809 of the family's 1533-position model. The record is from RNAcentral.
CAGUAGCCGCGGUAAUACGUAGGGUGCAAGCGUUAAUCGGAGUUACUGGGCGUAAAGCGUGCGCAGGCGGUUUGUUAAGACAGAUGUGAAAUCCCCGAGCUUAACUUGGGAACUGCAUUUGAAACUGGCAAGCUAGAGUCUUGUAGAGGGGGGUAGAAUUCCAGGUGUAGCGGUGAAAUGCGUAGAGAUCUGGAGGAAUACCGGUGGCGAAGGCGGCCCCCUGGACAAAGACUGACGCUCAGGUGCGAAGGCGUGGGGAGCAAACAGGAUUAGAUACCCGAGUAGUCCCUGUCUCUUAUAA